This 116-nucleotide ribosomal RNA is filed under the name Bacillus cereus. Lineage: Bacteria; Bacillati; Bacillota; Bacilli; Caryophanales; Bacillaceae. The record is from RNAcentral. RNAcentral also lists the same sequence under 3 other names.
UUUGGUGAUGAUGGCAGAGAGGUCACACCCGUUUCCAUACCGAACACGGAAGUUAAGCUCUCUAGCGCCGAUGGUAGUUGGGACCUUGUCCCUGUGAGAGUAGGACGUCGCCAAGC